GUAAGGAAUAUUGGUCAAUGGACGCAAGUCUGAACCAGCCAUGCCGCGUGGAGGAUGAAGGUCCUCUGGAUUGUAAACUUCUUUUAUCUGGGACGAAAAAAGGGUUUUCUAACUCGUCUGACGGUACCAGAUGAAUAAGCACCGGCUAACUCCGUGCCAGCAGCCGCGGUAAUACGGAGGGUGCAAGCGUUAUCCGGAUUCACUGGGUUUAAAGGGUGCGUAGGCGGGCAUUUAAGUCAGUGGUGAAAUACCUGAGCUUAACUUGGGAACUGCCAUUGAUACUAUUUGUCUUGAAUGUCGUGGAGGUUAGCGGAAUAUGUCAUGUAGCGGUGAAAUGCUUAGAUAUGACAUAGAACACCUAUUGCGAAGGCAGCUAACUACGCGAAUAUUGACGCUGAGGCACGAAAGCGUGGGGAUCAAACAGGAUUAGAAACCCCAGUAGUCC
This 445-nucleotide ribosomal RNA is filed under the name uncultured bacterium. RNAcentral's name for it is "bacterial SSU rRNA". It matches the Rfam family "Bacterial small subunit ribosomal RNA", at positions 354 to 796 of the family's 1533-position model. The record is from RNAcentral.